AUUUUAUGCUCUGUAAUUGGAAUGAUGGGAAUGUAAAACCCUCUCAGAGUAACAAUUGGAGGGCAAGUCUGGUGCCAGCAGCCGCGGUAAUUCCAGCUCCAAUAGUGUAUAUUAGAGUUGUUGCAGUUAAAAAGCUCGUAGUUGGAUUUCUGUCGUGGUCAUCCGGUACCGCCCGUAUGGGUGUGCACCUGGUUUGACCUCGGCUUUCUUCCGGUAGCCUUCGGCGCUUCAUUGCGUGGUUGGCGUUCCGGAACUUUUACUUUGAGAAAAAUAGAGUGUUUCAAGCAGGCUUGUCGCCCUGAAUACUUCAGCAUGGAAUAAUAAGAUAGGACCUUGGUUCUAUUUUGUUGGUUUCUAGGACCAAGGUAAUGAUUAAUAGG
Molecule: ribosomal RNA, 380 nt
Filed under: Eimeria rioarribaensis
Lineage: Eukaryota; Apicomplexa; Conoidasida; Eucoccidiorida; Eimeriidae
Description: SSU rRNA
Rfam family: Eukaryotic small subunit ribosomal RNA
Source: RNAcentral